UCCUAUCUUUUGGUCUGCAUGUGCUUGCUCCCGACAAUCUUUAUCCCAAACACCUGUGUGCACCUUUUGAAGAGGGGGGAGGGUUUUUUGUGUAGUAGAGAUUACUACUAGGAUUAUCCUCCUUCUUUUACACAUAUACACUGCUUGCAAAUGUUGAACGUGAAUUGUGCCUGUAAGGCAUUAAUAAAAUACAACUUUUAACAACGGAUCUCUUGGCUCUCGCAUCGAUGAAGAACGCAGCGAAAUGCGAUAAGUAAUGUGAAUUGCAGAAUUCAGUGAAUCAUCGAAUCUUUGAACGCACCUUGCGCUCCUUGGUAUUCCGAGGAGCACGCCUGUUCGAGUGUCGUGAAGUUUCUCAAGCUUGGAUGCUUUUUGUUUGACGAAAAUGCUCUUGGCUUGGUAUUGGGCUCUGCCGUGUCCCCAUUCUUUUGGGAACGGCUGGUCUUAAAGGUAUUAGCUUGACCCCUGACGUGGCAUUGGUUCUACUCAGCGUGAUAAAUAGUCUGACCGCUGAGGACAUCUUUCGAGAUGGCCAGUUCUAGUUGGGGUUGCUCUCUAAUCCGGUUAGCAGGGAUCUCCUCAGAUCCUGCUCCACUUUCAAUUUUGACCUCGAAUCAGGUGGGACU
Molecule: ribosomal RNA, 626 nt
Filed under: uncultured Clavulinaceae
Lineage: Eukaryota; Fungi; Basidiomycota; Agaricomycetes; Cantharellales; Hydnaceae
Description: eukaryotic LSU rRNA
Rfam family: 5.8S ribosomal RNA (bases 193-346)
Source: RNAcentral